RNAcentral lists this ribosomal RNA (246 nucleotides) under uncultured bacterium. RNAcentral's name for it is "partial 16S ribosomal RNA". It matches the Rfam family "Bacterial small subunit ribosomal RNA", at positions 527 to 772 of the family's 1533-position model. The record is from RNAcentral.
GGAGGUCCCGAGCGUUAUCCGGAUUUACUGGGUGUAAAGGGAGCGUAGACGGCAUAGCAAGUCUGAAGUGAAAGCCCGUGGCUCAACCGCGGAACUGCUUUGGAAACUGUUAAGCUGGAGUACUGGAGAGGCAAGCGGAAUUCCUAGUGUAGCGGUGAAAUGCGUAGAUAUUAGGAGGAACACCAGUGGCGAAGGCGGCUUGCUGGACAGAGACUGACGUUGAGGCUCGAAAGCGUGGGGAGCAAA